GACGAACGCUGGCGGCGUGCUUAACACAUGCAAGUCGAACGGAAAGGCCCUGCUUUUGUGGGGUGCUCGAGUGGCGAACGGGUGAGUAACACGUGAGUAACCUGCCCUUGACUUUGGGAUAACUUCAGGAAACUGGGGCUAAUACCGGAUAGGAGCUCCUGCUGCAUGGUGGGGGUUGGAAAGUUUCGGCGGUUGGGGAUGGACUCGCGGCUUAUCAGCUUGUUGGUGGGGUAGUGGCUUACCAAGGCUUUGACGGGUAGCCGGCCUGAGAGGGGGACCGGCCACAUUGGGACUGAGAGACGGCCCAGACUCCUACGGGAGGCAGCAGUGGGGAAUAUUGCACAGUGGGCGGAAGCCUGAUGCAGCAACGCCGCGUGCGGGAUGACGGCCUUCGGGUUGUAAACCGCUUUCGCCUGUGACGAAGCGUGAGUGACGGUAAUGGGUAAAGAAGCACCGGCUAACUACGUG
RNAcentral lists this ribosomal RNA (468 nucleotides) under uncultured bacterium. Its description in RNAcentral is "partial 16S ribosomal RNA". It matches the Rfam family "Bacterial small subunit ribosomal RNA", at positions 28 to 507 of the family's 1533-position model. The record is from RNAcentral.